This 1512-nucleotide ribosomal RNA is filed under the name uncultured bacterium. Its description in RNAcentral is "bacterial SSU rRNA". It matches the Rfam family "Bacterial small subunit ribosomal RNA". The record is from RNAcentral.
UCGAUUAGAGUUUGAUCCUGGCUCAGAACGAACGUUGGCGGCGUGGAUUAGGCAUGCAAGUCGAGGGAAUCUCCCGCAAGGGAGGGAACCGGCGUAAGGGGCAGUAAGGCAUGGGUAACCUACCCCGAGGUCCGGGAUAGCCAUCAGAAAUGGUGGGUAAUACCGGAUGAACUCGUGAGAGCAAAGGUCCGCCGCCUCGGGGGGGGCCCAUGUGGUAUUAGCUAGUUGGUAGGGUAAUGGCCUACCAAGGCGAAGAUGCCUAGCGGGUGUGAGAGCACGACCCGCGCCACUGGCACUGAGACACUGGCCAGACACCUACGGGUGGCUGCAGUCGAGGAUCUUCGGCAAUGGGCGCAAGCCUGACCGAGCGACGCCGCGUGCGCGAUGAAGCCUUCGGGUUGUAAAGCGCUUGUCGAGGGGAGGAAAAGCCCCACAAGGGCUUGAUCGGCCCCUGGAGGAAGCACGGGCUAAGUUCGUGCCAGCAGCCGCGGUAAGACGAACCGUGCGUACGUUGUUCGGAAUCACUGGGCUUAAAGGGUGCGUAGGCGGGUUGUCCAGUCUGGGGUGAAAUCCCACGGCUCAACCGUGGAACUGCCUCAGAUACUGACGACCUCUAGGGAGGUAGGGGCGAGCGGAACUGUGGGUGGAGCGGUGAAAUGCGUUGAUAUCCACAGGAACUCCGGUGGCGAAGGCGGCUCGCUGGACCUCUACUGACGCUGAGGCACGAAAGCUAGGGGAGCAAACGGGAUUAGAUACCCCGGUAGUCCUAGCCCUAAACGAUGGGUACUAGGUAGUAGGCUAGACAUGGGCUUACUGCCGUAGCAAAAGUGCUAAGUACCCCGCCUGGGGAGUAUGGCCGCAAGGCUGAAACUCAAAGGAAUUGACGGGGGCUCACACAAGCGGUGGAGCAUGUGGCUUAAUUCGAGGCUACGCGAAGAACCUUAUCCUGGGCUUGACAUGUGCGAAAGCGCCGGGAAGUAGGACCCGGAUACGGGAACGAACGGUACCCAGCCCGGAACCCGGCACAGGUGCUGCAUGGCUGUCGUCAGCUCGUGUCGUGAGAUGUCGGGUUAAGUCCCAUAACGAGCGAAACCCUUACCUUCAGUUGCUACCCGCAAGGGGCACUCUGGAGGGACUGCCGGUGUCUAACCGGAGGAAGGUGGGGAUGACGUCAAGUCAUCAUGGCCUUUAUGCCCAGGGCUGCACACGUGCUACAAUGGCGUGUACAAAGCGAAGCAACCACGCGAGUGGAAGCCAAUCGCAAAAAACACGCCCCAGUUCAGAUCGGAGGCUGCAACUCGCCUCCGUGAAGGCGGAAUCGCUAGUAAUCGCGGGUCAGCAACACCGCGGUGAAUGUGUUCCUGAGCCUUGUACACACCGCCCGUCAAGCCACGAAAGGGAGGGGCGCCCGAAGUCACCUUCACCGGUGCCGAAGGCGAAACUCCUGAUUGGGACUGAGUCGUAACAAGGUAACCGUAGGGGAACCUGCGGCUGGAUCACCUCCUUAAUCGA